CAGCAGCCACGGUAAUACGUAGGGUGCGAGCGUUAAUCGGAAUUACUGGGCGUAAAGCGUGCGCAGGCGGUUUUGUAAGACAGAGGUGAAAUCCCCGGGCUCAACCUGGGAACUGCCUUUGUGACUGCAAGGCUAGAGUACGGCAGAGGGGGAUGGAAUUCCGCGUGUAGCAGUGAAAUGCGUAGAUAUGCGGAGGAACACCGAUGGCGAAGGCAAUCCCCUGGGCCUGUACUGACGCUCAUGCACGAAAGCGUGGGGAGCAAACAGGAUUAGAUACCCCUGUAGUCCAUGUCUCUUAUAA
This 301-nucleotide ribosomal RNA is filed under the name uncultured bacterium. Its description in RNAcentral is "partial 16S ribosomal RNA". It matches the Rfam family "Bacterial small subunit ribosomal RNA", at positions 509 to 809 of the family's 1533-position model. The record is from RNAcentral.